Molecule: long non-coding RNA, 586 nt
Filed under: Olea europaea (common olive)
Lineage: Eukaryota; Viridiplantae; Streptophyta; Magnoliopsida; Lamiales; Oleaceae
Description: long non-coding RNA (OEUR_LNC003657)
Source: RNAcentral
UCACAACUGUAGAUUCAACUGAAGGUUUCUCUGAAAAACAAGGUACGGAGUGAUCCAUUCAUAGAGAAACUAAAACUGAAGCUUAACAAAUCUUUUUGACAAACAAGAACGCCAAAUGAGAAAAACUUGUAUCUCUUCAUGGAAGUAUCACUCAUGCCAAAAUAGAUCGCUUACUGAAUAAUUAAUAACACAACAAGAAAUCUUAAAGAAACGACAAUGUUUCAACAAAUAAGAUCAUGAAUUUCAAUAAAAAGAAGAAGAACCCAUAAUAGAUCUGAGAGGAGAUUUCUCUUAAACUCCAAGGGAAAACAAGUUAGCUUUUUGCUCUCCCCAAAAGGGCGCUACCCACCCAGAAUCCCAGAUGACAGUCUUGAUCAAGAAUUGUACUAAGUGGUGUACGACAAAUAGAAGGAAAAAAAUCCCUCCUUUUUGAGAAUGGAAUGUUGCUUCUGUACUUUGAUCGUGUGCGUGUGUGAAACAAUAUUUUAUUGUUUGACAAGAAAUGAAAGAUAGAAAGAUGAGAGAAUUGUCCAGAGCUCAGCCCCUAACCCAUUUCCUUGGCAUUAAUAAAAGUCUUACUUGUUCU